GUAGGUGGCGAGCGUUGUCCGGAAUUAUUGGGCGUAAAGCGCGCGCAGGCGGUUCUUUAAGUCUGAUGUGAAAGCCCACGGCUCAACCGUGGAGGGUCAUUGGAAACUGGAGAACUUGAGUACAGAAGAGGAAAGCGGAAUUCCACGUGUAGCGGUGAAAUGCGUAGAGAUGUGGAGGAACACCAGUGGCGAAGGCGGCUUUCUGGUCUGUAACUGACGCUGAGGCGCGAAAGCGUGGGGAGCAAACAGGGAUUAGAUACCCUGGUAGUCCACGCCGUAAACGAUGAGUGCUAAGUGUUAGGGGGUUUCCGCCCCCUUAGUGCUGCAGCUAACGCAUUAAGCACUCCGCCUGGGGAUACGGCCGCAAGGCUG
This 372-nucleotide ribosomal RNA is filed under the name uncultured organism. RNAcentral's name for it is "partial 16S ribosomal RNA". It matches the Rfam family "Bacterial small subunit ribosomal RNA", at positions 527 to 896 of the family's 1533-position model. The record is from RNAcentral.